GCUCCCCUGCUGCCCCUGGGCCCCCUGAGCCCCCGGGAGUGCUGGCUGCUGAACUGGGGCUUGCAAGGAGGAGAGCUGGCCCUGCGCGCGGCAAAGUGGUCUGGAUAUCUCCCGCCCGCGCUGCCUGCAAGAGUGCAACUGGGAGAGGAGAUCCAUCCGGCCACCGACGCUCGGGAAAGACGCUGGGGGAGGCUCCUGCAGCUUCCCACCAAAGAAAACCCACUGUUUUGCAGCCAAGUUAUCUCACGCCGUAAGAUUUGGGUGGAGGAGGAACCGCUGGAGCUCCACGUCCAACACCGCCGGCCCCACCCUGGGCACGGACAGACGUCUCCGCUCUAGGGAAGGACGGCAGAGCCACCACCCAGGCUCUCUCAAGAUGGGAAUAAAGACCCCGUCUGUCUCCAGUCGUUGCUUCUACAGAGUCUCGGAUGGAGCAUCCAAGCACUUGAUGGCCACGGUGGUAUUUUGCAGGCCGUUUCUUCGAAACCUGCUGAGGGCAUCACUGCGUCUCCAUCCUGGGAGACAUCCCCAUCAUCCCACCUGUGCCAGAAGCCCUUGGGGAAGAAGAAAGGAAUUCCCUUCUUCUUUAGUUUAUUUUUUCAGUACCUAUCUGUAUGUAUAAGUGAGCUUUCCGCACAGGGGAUGUAUAAUUUGAGCAGAACACAGUACGUUGAAUUUUGCCUUCAGCUACGCUCUGUGAAGCCAAGAUUUGCUCCGAGCUAGCAAAGGAAUGCCAAGCUACCACAACGCUACAGCUACGAGCAAGGUGCUCUGUAAAUAUUCCGUAUUUCCCCUUCAACACAAGAGGUUCCCAUCGUUGCUAAGACAUUUUGAAGGGUAUUGCCAGGGUGAGGGUGGAGUCCAGCACAGCAUCUUUUUGGUCACAGUUUGUGUUCUCAAACAUCUUCGCGUCCCCGGCUGCUCUUUUCCCAUCUCUUGCUAUUUUCCCGGGACAAAAAUCUUGAGGCUGGAGCAUUUCCCGCUGGCAGAGAUCCGCCAGUUCCCACUGAACUGGGAGAGAACUGAGGGAGGCUCUUAACCUCUUCCCAGAGAUGCUCGGCGCUUUCCCGGGAGCAGCCCUAGGAGGAUGCUGAGGCAGGAUACGGUCCUGCCCGGGCGGGUCCCGGCAUCUUGUGGACUCCGUGCUUGGCGGCACCAAGAGCCAGGCAGCCUGCCCCAAUUCCCUCCGCUACAGCGAUGGAGGAACUCCCCUGACACCUCACCACCUCCCUAAAUACACGCUUUUAAUAAAGAGCCAA
This is a long non-coding RNA of Chroicocephalus ridibundus (black-headed gull), 1259 nucleotides long. RefSeq lists it as uncharacterized. Lineage: Eukaryota; Metazoa; Chordata; Aves; Charadriiformes; Laridae. The record is from RefSeq and is a predicted model, not a curated record. The transcript has 3 exons.